Molecule: ribosomal RNA, 301 nt
Filed under: uncultured bacterium
Lineage: Bacteria
Description: partial 16S ribosomal RNA
Rfam family: Bacterial small subunit ribosomal RNA
Source: RNAcentral
CAGUAGCCGCGGGAAUACGUAGGGUGCAAGCGUUAAUCGGAAUUACUGGGCGUAAAGCGUGCGCAGGCGGUUAUAUAAGACAGAUGUGAAAUCCCCGGGCUCAACCUGGGAACUGCAUUUGUGACUGUAUAGCUAGAGUACGACAGAGGGGGAUGGAAUUCCGCGUGUAGCAGUGAAAUGCGUAGAUAUGCGGAGGAACACCGAUGGCGAAGGCAAUCCCCUGGGCCUGUACUGACGCUCAUGCACGAAAGCGUGGGGAGCAAACAGGAUUAGAUACCCGAGUAGUCCCUGUCUCUUAUAA